ACACUAGUACGAGAGGACCGUGUUGGACAUACCUCUGGCGUACCGGUUGUUCCGCCAGGAGCACCGCCGGGUACCCAAGUGUGGAUUGGAUAAGCGCUGAAAGCAUCUAAGCGCGAAGCCAGCCCCGAGAUAAGAUAUCCCUGAGGGCCGUCGCAGACGACGACGUGGAUAGGCCGCAGGUGUGAGGGUAGCGAUAUCCCAGCCGAGCGGUACUAAUAGCCCGAGACUUUCCGCCGA
RNAcentral lists this ribosomal RNA (237 nucleotides) under Candidatus Parabacteroides intestinipullorum. RNAcentral's name for it is "partial 23S ribosomal RNA". It matches the Rfam family "Bacterial large subunit ribosomal RNA", at positions 2675 to 2925 of the family's 2925-position model. Lineage: Bacteria; Pseudomonadati; Bacteroidota; Bacteroidia; Bacteroidales; Tannerellaceae. The record is from RNAcentral.